Orcinus orca (killer whale) is the source of this 6724-nucleotide long non-coding RNA. RefSeq lists it as uncharacterized. The transcript is spliced from 5 exons. NCBI's taxonomy places the organism in Eukaryota, Metazoa, Chordata, Mammalia, Artiodactyla, Delphinidae. The record is from RefSeq and is a predicted model, not a curated record.
CUUGACAAUCUGCACAUCUGGGAGACUAUCAAGAAAUGCUUUGAGGUCGAUGCCAUUCAGCACAAUCCGAUUGUCAUAAAUGUGCCCAUUGGACUUAAAAUCGAUGACUGCCUUCUUCUUCAGCUGCAUGCAGUGUCUCUCAGCUGCCUCAAAAUCUCCUGCCUGAUACUCUCGAUGUGCCAACUCAGCUAACCCUUGGAAGGAAAGCAUACGUUUCGUUGGUUCUGUGCUGUCGGCCACGUUGCCCACAGAAGACGCCAUCUGGAGCUUCUGGAGAGAAGCAAAAUUCACUUAAGUACUGUACUGGUGGAAAUUGGGCAGCACUAUGGAGACAAUAAAAAGGUGUUUACCAUCAAAAAACGUCAAGGUAAGAAAGAUAAUGUCUAAUUUUUAAUUAUCCUGUGGUUUAUUGAAAUCUUUUGGAAACCCAAAAUAGAGAAAACCUAGGAGGCAAUGAAGACUUAAAUCUUUAGAGAUUUAUCAACUCAUCUAUAAAAGCUUUAUUAAUCUCUUCUUUUAAUACCAUUCCUGAGAGGUAUAAAUGUGUCCAGUGAUAGGGUUGAAGAAGCCUGAGAGAAUUUCAAUUGUUUACUAUUCUUGGUCAGCUAUUAAGACCUUUCAGGAGCAUCUUGAUUUUCAUGGCAUCAUCCAACAAAAAGCAGGAUAUUUUACAGAAAGUCCUGGUCCACUUUUUGGCUUGCUUUUGUGUUUAUGUUUUUGGUUUUCUCACACUGGGCGGUACAUUAGGCUACCUAUUGCACACUCCCUCAUUCAUGCAUGCAUUCAUUCAAACAAUAUUUACUGAGUUGAGAUAUUUAAUUAACACCCAAUAAAUGAUGUUUAGAUGAAUGAAUGCGCUUUUUAUCAAAGUAAGUGUAAGUACUGAGAAAAAUUACAGAAUGUAUGAUCCCAGCCCCACAAAAGCGUAUAAUUGUGUUGAGGAUAUAACAUAUGCUGGUGAAAUAACUAAUAUAUCAUAUUGGACAGUUUCUAAGUUCAAAAAUGAGUUUUUGUAAAUAAUCAGAGCCUAAGGAGGACAAAGAAGGGACAGUUCAUUAUGGGUUGAAUCUAUCAAUAAAUGUACAUUUCAGAUGAGAUUUGAGAUUGACCUUAAAGAAAGAAGAGGACUUAGAUAUAUGAACAGAGAACAAAAAAGGCAUGGUGAUAGCAUGUGCAUAGAUAGUGUGGCCAAUAUUUAUGUUCUUCAUUAAAGACAGUCAGAGAUAACCCAAAUGUAACUGUUUCCAUGGGUCCAUUCUCAGUACCCAAACAAAACGGCAAAUCCUAUCUUAGUAAAACUAAUGAAAAACACAGUCUUUAACGAAGACAUUGUGAAGGAAAGGGGGAGAGAAAGGCUUGCGUCCCACACCACACAACAAAACUUAUUUAAUUAUUUGUUUCAUUUUCUCCCUCUGAAAAUUUCCUCUCCCCCUCUCUGUACAUCUCUCUUCUCCCACAUCUGGCCACACUCUACCAGCCACCUUUCCAGAUCUUUCCAGAACUCUCCAUCCUAGUUUCAUUAUGCCACAAGUUGAACAUCUCACAGGUCUCCAGGAUGCAUCCUCAUCACUUAUUCCACAAAGACAAACAAAGGACACUUCUCAGGAUCAAGUUUCUUGGAAGGAAGAGGUCAUGAGGAGUGAUUAUAAAUAACAUACUGGCACCAAACUUUCAAACAAUAAGAACCUUCCCAUAAGUCCCUUGCCAGGCAAGAUUAAGGUAUAACAAUCCAAACAGAUUUUUGAAGAAGAUAACUGGUUGAAAGCACAGGAAAAGAGCUGGGUUGCUCUUUUUCAACGGUCACAUGAUGAGUAAUGUGGGAAUUGGUUUACAAAGUCUCUCUCCAUGAGGGGCUAAGGUUAAGAUUAGAACUUCUGAGGCCAGAAGAGCAAAAUAACUACAACAACACACAUAUUUUCAAGAGCCGCCCUUUGGAUGUGAGGGAUUGAUUUUUCCCACGCUUUUUUCAGCAACCCCACUGGUGUCUUUAUUAAAUGACAUAAGGGAAUACAGUGUGGCCAAGAAGGCUUAGAUUUCCUUAGCCGCAAGUCAGAUAUUCUCAAGUGACUGUCCACUCAAAUUAAAAAGAGAGAUUUACAAGAGGAAACUGGAUACAACUGAGUGUACUUUUAUUUCAACCCUUUAUCUGAAUGCUUUGUUUUGAUUUCAGUUCUCCACUGAAGUUGCCUACAUUAAUAUAUUUUUAAGAACAUUUCCUUAAGUUGAAGUAUUCAUUCAGUAUAUUCAUUUACUAUAAUUGAGAAAAGCCAAAUGACUUAGGCAAAUUCAUUUCUAUAUUGCCACAGCAGUGUAUUGUGAACUAAAUGACACCUGGCAGUUCUUUACUCAGAUACUAACUCAAUUAGAAGGCAGAACAAGGAUACCUACCCAUUGAGGGAAGGAAAGGUCACUUAGCCUCUGUAGCUGUCUUAGGUCUCUUAUCAUCACAGUAACAAACUGAAGACUAAAAACCAUACGAUCAUCUCAAUAGAUGCAGAAAAAGCUUUUGAAAAAAUUCAAUAUCCAUUCAUGGUAAAAACUCUCCAGAAAGUGGGCAUACAGGGAACAUACCUCAACAUAAUAAAGGCCAUAUAUGACAAGCCCAUAGCUAUCAUACUCAAUGGUGAAAAGCUGAAAGCAUUUCCCCUAAGAUCAGGAAUAAGACAAGGAUGCCCACUCUCACCACUUUUAUUGAACAGAGUUUUGGAAGUCCUAGCCACAGCAAUCAGACAAGAAAAAAUAAAUAAAUAAAAGGACUCCAAAAUGGAAAGGCAAAAGUAAAACUGUCACUGUUUGCAGAUGGCAUGAUACAUAGAAAAUCUGAAAGACACCAUCAAAAAACUAUUCGAGCUCAAACAUGAACUUGGUAAAUUUGAAGGAUACAAUAGAUUUCUAUAUAUAAAUUUUGUAUUUCUAUACACUCACAGUGAACUAUCAGAAAGAGAAAUUAAGGAAACAAUCCCAUUUACAAUCGCAUAAAAAAGAAUAAAAUACAUAAGAAUAAACCUGCCUAAGGAGGUAAAAGACCUGUACCCAGGAAACUAUAUGACACUCAUAAAAGAAAGGAAAGAUGACACAAACAGCUGGAAAGAUAUACCAUGGUCACGGAGUGGAAGAAUUAAUAUUGUUAAAAUGACCAUCAUACCCAAGGACAUCUACGCAUUCAAUGCAGUCUGUAUCAACAUAUCAAGGGCAUUUUCCACAGACCUAGAACAAAUAAUUUUAAAGUUUGUAUGGAAACACAAAAGAUCCUGAAUAGCUAAAACAGUCUUGAGAAAGAAGAACACAACUGGAGGAAUCAUGCUCCCUGGCUUCAGACUGUGCUACAAACCUACAGUAAUCAAAACAGUAUGGUACCGGCACAAAAACAUCCAUCACUGGAACAGAAUAGAGAGCCCAGAAAGAAACCCAUGCACUUAUGGUCAAUGAAUCUAUGACAAAGGAGGCAAGAAUAUGCAAUGGAGAAAAGUCUGGGCUUCCUUAGGGAUGGUUUCAUCAAUUAAUUUGUUUUCUUAAAUGGACCAUACUUUUCCAUGUCUUUGUAUACCUUGUGAGUUUUUUGGUUGAACAUUUGGCUUUCAAAUAUUAUAAUGUGGUGUCUAUGGAAAUCAGAUUCUCCCACUUUCCCAGGGUUUUCUGGGCUUUGGAUUGUUGAAGGCUGUAGUAGUCUGUUUGUUUAGGGGCCUUUCCAAACUAGUUUUGCAAUGAGUGUACUCCUUAUCGUAUGUAGGCACUGAAGUCUCUGUUCCUUUAGUUCAUGUUUAGCUAAUGUUUUGACAGAGAUGUCCUUGAAUUCCCACACCUAAGACAAACAAAAACAAAUAUACACAAGCACAUCCACAUGCACACUCAAAACCACACACCUCUCCCCAUUGUGCAGAUUGCUGGAUCACUCCUUCAACAUUUAGCUGACCUGCACUGAGGUCAGGGCUCAGCCCAUGGUAAAAGCUUAGAGACUCCUCUGGUGUUUUCAGAACAUGCAUCUUAUCUUGAGUAUGCAUGUGGCUUUCUUAAUUUCUCUGGACACAUACUUUUUGUAUGUUCUAAGUUCCCAAAGAAUCUCCCCCAACUUUUGCUCCUGCAUCUUAUGUGGUCUAUUGUAUUUCAAUGCACAGUCUUCUGCCCCAGCCAUCUCUGCUUUGUUAGUUCACCUUGCACUUUUUUUGAGCAAUGACCGCUGCUUUUCCAGACUGUGUUCCAGGUUAGCUAAGACAGAGAUAAGCAUCUUGUGUCAGUCCUUCAGGUAGCUCCCAGACAGGUUAGAACAGAUACACAUAAUAAUCCGAGAGUAUGGUCUCUUCUGCUCUCUCCUGAAGCAGGAUUGAGGGCCCCAUACUAGGAAUGGUCUGCUGCUACUUUAAGACUAUCACUGCAUUAAGACCCUACCACUUUAAGACCAUCACUACACUAAGAGUAGAUGGGGCAAGGGCAAGUAAAAAUGCCACAAAGCUUUCCUGCCAUUUUCAAAUUGCCUCUUCCCUGGUUCAGUAUGUGUUUGCUUGCUGUAAAUCUUUGCCUGAUUUCAGGACUAAGAGAAACUCAAGGAACGCCACAACAAGAAACAGUAUAAUCAAACUCUCAGAUGCCAAAAGACAGAGAAAGAAUCUUUACUCCCAAAGGAGAAAGAAAAAACAAAUUUGUUACAAAGCAGGGAUCCUCAAAAAGGUUCAUAGCUAAUUUCCUAUCUGAAACCACGGAAGCAAGAGGCCAGACAUAUUUAAAGUGCUGAGAGAAAAAAACUGUCCACCAAGAAUUCUAUAUUUGGCCAAACUGGUUUCAAAACUUAGGGAGAAAUUAACACAUUCCCAGAUGAACAAAGGCUGAGGGCGUUUGUUUUACAACUUCCUAACACUGCCCUAGGACAAAUGCUAAAUUGAACCUUCAGGUUGAAAUGAAAGGACACUAGACAGCAACUCGAAGCUGUAUAAAGAAAUAGAAAUCUCCAGUAAAGAUAAAUACAUGGGCAGAUACUAAAGCCAGUAUUGUGCUACUGGCUUGUAACUCUACUUUUUAUUUCUUACAUGAUUGAAAAAACAAAUGCAUAAAAUAAUCAUAAAUCCAUGUUAUUGGGCUCACGAAGUAUAAAGGUGUAAUUUGUGACAACAAUAAUGUAAGGAGGAGGAAUGGAACUGUAGAGGAACAGAGUUUCUGUGUGCUAUUGAAGUUGGUUUCAAUUCAAAUGAUAUUGGUUGAACUUUAGAAGGGUAAAUUAUAUGCUGUCCGCAAAAAACUCACUUGAUUUCAAGAGACACAAGUUGGUUGAAAGUUAAAGCACAGAAUAAAAUAUCCCAUGCAAAUAGUAACAAAAAGAAAGAAAGAGAGAGAGAGAAAAAGGAAGGAAGGAAGGAAGGAAGGAAGGAAGGAAGAUAGAUCUGGGAUGGCUACGUUAAUAUCACACAAAAUAAACUUUAAAUCAAAAACUAUCACAAGAGGAAAAGGAGGCCACUAUAUGUUGAUAACAAGUUCAAUCUAUCAAGGAGAUAUAACAACUAUAAACAUAUAUGUACCAAACAUCCCCCAAAUAUGUGAAGCAGACAUUGACAGAAUUGAAGGAAGAAAUAGAUAGUUCUAAAAUAAUAGUUGGAGAUCAAUACCUUGCUUUCAAUAAUGGAUAACACAUCUAGACAGAUCAGUAGAGAGGUAGGGGGACUGAAUAACACAUUUAACCAACUAAACCUAACAGCCAUAUAUAGAUCACUCCACUCAACAACAGCAGAAUACACAUUUUUCUCAAGUACACAUGGAACAUUCUCCAGGAAAGACCAUAUGUUACGCCACAAUACAAGUACCAAUACAUUUUUAAGAAACUGAAAUCAUACAAAGUAUCUUCUUUAGCCACAGUGAAAGGAAGGUAGAAAUCAAUAACAGAACCAUUGGUAGCCAUUUCCCAUCAUGCCUGCCACACAUGAUAUAAAGCAAUGAAGGGGAAAACAUAAUUGACCAUUUAGAAAAGUGGGAAAGAGGACAUACCAUUGACACAGAGUGUGUGCUGUUUCCCGUUCUCAGGGAUAGAAAUAAAUUAGCAUCAUUUAUUCAUUAGUGUGUUAAUUUCUUGGUCAAUCAUUGCACAGCCAGUGUUUCUGCCUGAUGGGAAGAUUUCCUAUACUCAGUGUUGAGUGGAGACAACCUUGAAAGGGACAUUUAAAAGGAUUAUACUGUGAUGGGCUUAGCAGUACCCUUCCUCCUAUGCCAGUAUUUAGGCUGGGGUAUUUCCAUGCAGUGUGUACAAUCGUAGGCCCCAGGUCACCAGAAUUUAGUUGGAUUCGUUUUGUUAAUACAUUCCCUCAGUACUUUGUCUUUUAUUUCACUGUUGCAUUUACUUCAUUCUUUAUUAUCACUGCGAAACAACUUUGUUUCCUGUUCAGAUGCCAAAAAGUGGAUAUCAAUACCUCCUGAGUUUUACACAUCACAGAUCUGUUUUACAUAUCAGAGGCAGAGACAGCAACUAUUUCCAAUGACUUUGAGACAUGCUUUGAACAUGUGAUUAACAUGUGGAGUGUUGAAAUGUGUGUCGAGCUCAUUACACUUGCUCUAAAAGGUUUCAAACUGCAAAGAUUUAAAAAUCUUUAUCUUUGAAUAGUUUUCCUGUGCUGUCCCUUUGUGUCAGACUGUUAAUGUGCAGUCUGGCACCUUUAAAUAAUGUGGCUUUGUAACCAAUUAUUUACAUGUUGUUUUAUCCACAGAGAAUCUUUUUUUUAAAAAAAUAAAUUUAUUUAUUUUUGGC